GACGAACCGUGCGAACGUUAUUCGGAAUCACUGGGCUUAAAGGGCGCGUAGGCGGGCCGACGAGCCAGGGGUGAAAUCCUCCAGCUUAACUGGAGAACAGCCUUUGGGACCGGCGGCCUCGAGGGGUGCAGGGGCAUGCGGAACUCGGGGUGGAGCGGUGAAAUGCGUAGAGAUCCUGAGGAACACCGGUGGCGAAAGCGGCGUGCUGGACACCUACUGACGCUGAGGCGCGAAAGCCAGGGGAGCGAACGGG
RNAcentral lists this ribosomal RNA (253 nucleotides) under uncultured bacterium. Its description in RNAcentral is "partial 16S ribosomal RNA". It matches the Rfam family "Bacterial small subunit ribosomal RNA", at positions 524 to 776 of the family's 1533-position model. The record is from RNAcentral.